This 425-nucleotide ribosomal RNA is filed under the name uncultured bacterium. RNAcentral describes it as "partial 16S ribosomal RNA". It matches the Rfam family "Bacterial small subunit ribosomal RNA", at positions 354 to 796 of the family's 1533-position model. The record is from RNAcentral.
GUGGGGAAUCUUGCGCAAUGGGCGAAAGCCUGACGCAGCCAUGCCGCGUGAAUGAUGAAGGUCUUAGGAUUGUAAAAUUCUUUCACCGGGGACGAUAAUGACGGUACCCGGAGAAGAAGCCCCGGCUAACUUCGUGCCAGCAGCCGCGGUAAUACGAAGGGGGCUAGCGUUGCUCGGAAUUACUGGGCGUAAAGGGCGCGUAGGCGGACAGUUUAGUCAGAGGUGAAAGCCCAGGGCUCAACCGUGGAAUUGCCUUUGAUACUGGGUGUCUUGAGUACGGGAGAGGUGAGUGGAACUCCGAGUGUAGAGGUGAAAUUCGUAGAUAUUCGGAAGAACACCAGUGGCGAAGGCGACUCACUGGCCCGUUACUGACGCUGAGGCGCGAAAGCGUGGGGAGCAAACAGGAUUAGAUACCCGAGUAGUCC